AUUGAACGCUGGCGGCAUGCUUUACACAUGCAAGUCGAACGGUAACAGGCCUUCGGGUGCUGACGAGUGGCGAACGGGUGAGUAAUGCAUCGGAACGUGCCCAGAGGUGGGGGAUAACGCAGCGAAAGCUGUGCUAAUACCGCAUGUGAUCUGAGGAUGAAAGCGGGGGACCAGGCAGCAAUGUUUGGCCUCGCGCCUUUGGAGCGGCCGAUGUCAGAUUAGGUAGUUGGUGGGGUAAAGGCCUACCAAGCCGACGAUCUGUAGCUGGUCUGAGAGGACGACCAGCCACACUGGGACUGAGACACGGCCCAGACUCCUACGGGAGGCAGCAGUGGGGAAUUUUGGACAAUGGGCGCAAGCCUGAUCCAGCAACGCCGCGUGCGGGAAGAAGGCCUUCGGGUUGUAAACCGCUUUUGUACGGAACGAAAAGGCUCUGGCUAAUACCUGGGGCUGAUGACGGUACCGUAAGAAUAAGCACCGGCUAACUACGUG
Molecule: ribosomal RNA, 492 nt
Filed under: uncultured bacterium
Lineage: Bacteria
Description: partial 16S ribosomal RNA
Rfam family: Bacterial small subunit ribosomal RNA
Source: RNAcentral